ACCUCGUUAAACAGAAGCAGAGAGACAGAUGAGCAGUGGCCGCGGUAUAAAGAAACCUUCACCUGGCCAGCGUUCUGGCCACCCCAGGACCACCAUGACCGGCUGUGUGGGUUGUGCACUGCUCAAGACCAGAGGGCAUGAUUCCCGUGACUGUGAGGUUAACGGUGUCUCCUGGAGUGCUGUGGUGGGACAACCCUCCCACCCAUAAUUUCCUUGAUCUCCUCUCCCCGGUUCUUUCUGUUCGGUAGAUCCUGAUGUGGUGACUGAUGAAGAAACUGAUGCUCAGGGAGGUGAAGUAAAAUGCUUAAUUUUACAGAGUUAAUUUACUAGUUCUCACAAGUGAUGGAAUUGGCAUUCAAGCCUAGUUUUGCCCAAGUCCAAACCCUGGAAUACAGUCCAGCCUCCAGACUGGAUGAUAAAGUAGACAUUGAUUCUGGUGAAUUCGGGAAGAGGAGACGGAAACAGAGCGACCGGUGCCUUACUC
This is a long non-coding RNA of Eubalaena glacialis (North Atlantic right whale), 484 nucleotides long. RefSeq lists it as uncharacterized. The transcript has 3 exons. NCBI's taxonomy places the organism in Eukaryota, Metazoa, Chordata, Mammalia, Artiodactyla, Balaenidae. The record is from RefSeq and is a predicted model, not a curated record.